CCCCCCCAAGCCUGCCUUUCAAAAUAUGAAGCUGAUAAUGUAUUACCUUAAGGCCAUCGGUUACAAUAAUAGUCAAGAUAACAGUCAUUGCGAAUUCUUUUCUUUUUAAAUUAAACCAAAUGGUUACAUUCUAUUGUCUUGGGCAUUGACCACUCCAGUUAUUGCUAAAACCAAUGCAAUUUUGUAGGAUCAUCUUAAACAGCUGAUGAUAAUGACAAAGGCAAUAAAUUCACCACGCAGAUCACGUUGUCCAUUGAUUGGUCAAACAGCUUUCUCUCUCUUUCUCUCUCGGUUGUUCACAAAAAAAAUCUUUCUUCUCAGACACACGCAUACACACACACAGCUGCACACAUAAUACAAAAAAAAAAUAAAAAU
Biomphalaria pfeifferi is the source of this 375-nucleotide non-coding RNA. The record is from the annotation of a GenBank genome assembly. NCBI's taxonomy places the organism in Eukaryota, Metazoa, Mollusca, Gastropoda, Planorbidae.